This 406-nucleotide ribosomal RNA is filed under the name uncultured bacterium. RNAcentral describes it as "partial 16S ribosomal RNA". It matches the Rfam family "Bacterial small subunit ribosomal RNA", at positions 30 to 526 of the family's 1533-position model. The record is from RNAcentral.
AUUGAACGCUGGCGGCAGGCCUAACACAUGCAAGUCGAGCGAGCGGCGGACGGGUGAGUCAUGUCUGGGAAACUGCCUGAUGGAGGGGGAUAACUAAUGGAAACGGUAGCUAAUACCGCAUACCAUCAGAUGUGCCCAGAUGGGAUUAGCUAGUAGGUGGGGUAACGGCUUACCUAGGCGACGAUCCCUAGCUGGUCUGAGAGGAUGACCAGCCACACUGGAACUGAGACACGGUCCAGAUUCCUACGGGGGGCAGCAGUGGGGAAUAUGGCACAAUGGGCGCAGGCCUGAUACAGCCAUGCCGCGUGUGUGAAUAAGGCCUGCGGGUUGUAAAGCACUUUCAGCUGGGAGGCGUUACCCGCAGAAGAAGCACCGGCUAACUCCGUGCCAGCAGCCGCGGUAAUAC